RNAcentral lists this ribosomal RNA (253 nucleotides) under uncultured bacterium. Its description in RNAcentral is "partial 16S ribosomal RNA". It matches the Rfam family "Bacterial small subunit ribosomal RNA", at positions 524 to 776 of the family's 1533-position model. The record is from RNAcentral.
UACGUAGGGUGCGAGCGUUGUCCGGAAUUAUUGGGCGUAAAGGGCUCGUAGGCGGUCUGUUGCGUCGGGAGUGAAAACUCAGGGCUUAACCCUGAGCCUGCUUCCGAUACGGGCAGACUAGAGGUAUGCAGGGGAGAACGGAAUUCCUGGUGUAGCGGUGAAAUGCGUAGAUAUCGGGAGGAACACCUGAGGCGAAGGCGGGCUACUGGGCUGAUACUGACGCUGAUGCGCGAAAGCUAGGGGAGCAAACAGG